Molecule: long non-coding RNA, 207 nt
Filed under: Mustela putorius furo (domestic ferret)
Lineage: Eukaryota; Metazoa; Chordata; Mammalia; Carnivora; Mustelidae
Description: lncRNA (ENSMPUG00000025742.1)
Source: RNAcentral
AAUACCUCAGUAACGUGAGACAUUCGUUCAACAAGUAUGUAUUUAGUGCAUCAUUUGCGAGGCCCUGGGACAGAUACUGGGAUGAAGGCAUGGCUCCUGCCUUCAUGGAGCUGACAUUCCAUGAAGAUGGACGCGGCUUGAAGAGAAAACUUAGAAAGGCGAAGUGACACCCAAGAUCACGCAGUUAGCAAGGUAAGGUUGGAAAAC